RNAcentral lists this ribosomal RNA (253 nucleotides) under uncultured bacterium. Its description in RNAcentral is "partial 16S ribosomal RNA". It matches the Rfam family "Bacterial small subunit ribosomal RNA", at positions 524 to 776 of the family's 1533-position model. The record is from RNAcentral.
UACGGGGGGGGCAAGCGUUGUUCGGAAUUACUGGGCGUAAAGGGCUCGUAGGCGGCCAACUAAGUCAGACGUGAAAUCCCCAGGCUCAACCUGGGAACUGCGUCUGAUGCUGGAUGGCUUGAAUCCGGGAGAGGGAUGCAGAAUUCCAGGUGUAGUGGUGAAAUGCGUAGAUAUCGGGAGGAACACCAGUGGCGUAGGCGGCUGUCUGGGGUCUUGCUGACGCUGAGGCACGAAAGCCAGGGGAGCAAACGGG